RNAcentral lists this unclassified non-coding RNA (226 nucleotides) under Hevea brasiliensis (rubber tree). The record is from RNAcentral. Lineage: Eukaryota; Viridiplantae; Streptophyta; Magnoliopsida; Malpighiales; Euphorbiaceae.
AUGCAGCUCAAGCUGCUGCACGAAUACAAGCUGCCUUCAGGGCACAUUCUUUCAGGAAGCGACAACAGAGAGAAGCUGCUGUGUCUACUAAUAAUGUAGAUGACUAUGGUGUCAAUUCCGGUGAUAUUCCAGGGCUUUCAGCUAUGUCAAAGCUGUUCUUUCACAAUGCACGUGAUUACAAUUCAGCUGCUUUAUCCAUUCAGAAGAAAUAUAGAGGGUGGAAAGG